RNAcentral lists this transfer RNA (65 nucleotides) under Myomenippe fornasinii. Its description in RNAcentral is "tRNA-Cys". It matches the Rfam family "tRNA". From Rfam's summary of the family: Transfer RNA (tRNA) molecules are approximately 80 nucleotides in length. Their secondary structure includes four short double-helical elements and three loops (D, anti-codon, and T loops). The record is from RNAcentral. Lineage: Eukaryota; Metazoa; Arthropoda; Malacostraca; Decapoda; Menippidae.
GGUUCUAUAGUUAAAAUAUAGCGUUAGAUUGCAAAUCUAAAGAUGUGAAUUGAUCACUGGAACUU